This is a long non-coding RNA of Helianthus annuus (common sunflower), 748 nucleotides long. RefSeq lists it as uncharacterized. The record is from RefSeq and is a predicted model, not a curated record. NCBI's taxonomy places the organism in Eukaryota, Viridiplantae, Streptophyta, Magnoliopsida, Asterales, Asteraceae. The transcript has 3 exons.
AUUGUUCGCUAAAGGUUCAAUCCGUUUUCAGCCUACUAGCCGCUAUGGCCCAUGAUUGUUUUGAAACCUUGGAAAACCGGUCCCAAACCGAUUCGUAGCAUCCAUUCCUCCACCCGGUUCUCUCGUAGAAUGCGCAAACCGGUUCAAAAUUGGCGGGUUCAGUCGGCACCAAAUCGGUUUCUAUGCUUUCAAACCGAUUUCGAGUGGGGUUUAUACGGUUUUAUUUCACCAAUCGGACUAUGUUUUUUCUCACAUCGAUUCUGAUUUUGAGCCUGACAAUGGUAGGUUUGAUGCCACAGUAUUUUAAACAAGGAACGUUAUCAUGUUGUAGAAGAACUUGAAAAACUGCUAAAGUGAAUCUCCUUCAGCACAAAACAAUUAUUUCACUCGUUGGAAAUGUUCGGAGGGCGUCACGUGUAUUGGAGAAGGUCUUCUUCCAACUCUGAUGGUGAUUUUGGUUCUCUGUUGUUUGGUUUACGGAACAAGCUGGAAACGACUACAAAAAACGAAGCGCUCCCGUGCCCAGGAAACAUGAGGUCGUGAACGGAGAACAACUCGUGGUGACCUCCGAGGUUCCAUAUCGAAAGCUUCGUGUCUUCGUCUUUGAAUGUUUUUACUUUCAUUCCUGUUGUUUUUAUCGCUUGCUCAACUGGAUUUACUAGGGUUUUGACUUGAUCAAUGUAUGGUAGCUUUGGAGAAGACAGGUUUUGUGAUAUGGAGUUGCAUAAUGUGGUUUUUCCUGCAUGAA